RNAcentral lists this long non-coding RNA (846 nucleotides) under Hordeum vulgare. RNAcentral's name for it is "long non-coding RNA (HVUL_LNC016088)". The record is from RNAcentral. Lineage: Eukaryota; Viridiplantae; Streptophyta; Magnoliopsida; Poales; Poaceae.
AUGGGAGCACGAGGCCUUGGGUUCCGUAGUGUGGGUACAGUGUACUAACCUCUACAGAGUGUGUAUAGUCUAUCGAUAGACGCGCCCGCGUGUAUGGGCCCUGUUCGUAGUAGGACACACUAUGAGUCAAAGUAAUAAUAACAUGCUUAAUAAACAACCCUGGUGCGAUUAUGAAAUAAGUUUAUUGAUCUUUAUGUGGUCGUGGGAGGGUCAGGAUGGUAUUCUUGAUAAUGAUAAGGUGAUCUUGUGAGGAUCACGAUGGUAUUCUUAAUUAUUUAUUGAUAUGAUCCCGUGAUGACCACGAUGGUAAGUAAGAGUGGCAUAUCUUUGGUGGUUACAAGUUAACCUCCGAACAGAGUAAGUUGCGACAUGAUAUUGUAAACAUGCUACAUGCUAGCAGCAUCUUUGUUCAUGCCUUGAGUAAUAUGUUCAUUCCAUCUGACGCUGUUCUAGCGGUAUUUUGUUCACCAUGUAUAUGCCAUGUUGCUCUAGUUGUAUAAUGUUCAUCAAUGCUUAAACAUGUAAAUGUCAUGCUAUUGUUUGUCUUGAUUGCUUUGGUUGUUGUGAGCUUGUGAGAACAUUCAAAGUUCUCACCUGGCGUGUCAUGCUAGUUUGGAGGUCAUGCCAUGAUUGAUUGUUGGUCGAGUUUGCAUGCUAGGAUAAGCGUUGGAGUCAGUCCCUCCGGAGUGGAGUCCAUCGCCUUCGUAGUUGUUCUGCUGCUUAGUUUUUUUCUGCUGCUAGUAUUGAGCUACCUAAGCACGCAUAGUGUCACCGUGCAAAUGUAAUUCGUUGUGAUAUGAGAACCUUUGUAAUCUGUAUCAUUUGUAAUAAAGAGCUGAUUUUUCU